Molecule: ribosomal RNA, 583 nt
Filed under: uncultured Clavariaceae
Lineage: Eukaryota; Fungi; Basidiomycota; Agaricomycetes; Agaricales; Clavariaceae
Description: eukaryotic LSU rRNA
Rfam family: 5.8S ribosomal RNA (bases 187-340)
Source: RNAcentral
GAUCAUUAUUGAAAUCCUCAGGAUGUUGCUGUGCCCCGUUGGGGGUGAUGUGCACUCCGUCUUCAAACCCCCUGUGAACCAACUGUGGGCUCGAGACUAGUCUCGUGGUCCAUGUUUUUUUAAACACAAACAAAAGUCUAUUGAAUGUCUAAUGAGUAGACCUUCUAGGUUGAAAACUUAACAUACAACUUUCAACAAUGGAUCUCUUGGUUCUCGCAUCGAUGAAGAACGCAGCGAAUUGCGAUAUGUAAUGUGAAUUGCAGAAUUCAGUGAAUCAUCGAAUCUUUGAACGCACCUUGCGCCCUUUGGUAUUCCGAAGGGCAUGCCUGUUUGAGUGUUAUUAAAUUCUCAACUUCAAGUUAACCUUGAAGCUUUGGACUGUGGAGGCUCCUGCCGGUUUAGCUUCUUGCUUGUCGGCUCCUCUUAAAUGCAUUAGCGGAACCCUUUGUAGGACCUGGCUUUGGUUUGAUAAAUCCUAUCUAUGCCGUUGCUGUGGACUUCUUUGUUCAGCUUAUAGCAGUCUUCGGACUGUCUCCUCGGAGGCAAAAACCACUCUUUAAGCUUUAACCUCAAAUCAUGUAGA